Long non-coding RNA from Solanum tuberosum (potato), 380 nucleotides. RefSeq lists it as uncharacterized. The record is from RefSeq and is a predicted model, not a curated record. The transcript has 2 exons. NCBI's taxonomy places the organism in Eukaryota, Viridiplantae, Streptophyta, Magnoliopsida, Solanales, Solanaceae.
UUUAAGCAAGCAUUUCUCUUUAUUGCUCUCUUUGUUGCAAUUUCAGUUAAUCUGUCUUGGGCUCCGAAUAAGAUGCAAGUGAUGGCAUUACGAGACUUACCCGUUAAUGUUGCAGAGAUGAAAGGGAAAUUAUUUGAUACUAGUACUUGCGGGAAACGUUGCAACACCCGUAGUGAAUGUCAAGAAGGUUUUAUUUGUUCAAAUUGUGUUACAUUUGCGAAUUUGUUUUCUCAAUGUGUAUAACACAAGUGCACUAUUACUGAUGAAAUACUCUUAUCGUGUUUCCAAGUUUGUGUAAGAAAAAUAAAUAUGUAACCUUAUAAGUUUUCCAUAUAUUGGAAAACUACAUAUUGAAAUAUAUAUAGGUUACAACUUAUAAA